CACAGGCAGCGGAGCGUGUGGUUUAAUUCGAUGUUACACGAAGAACCUUACAGGGUUUGACAUGCAAGUGGUAGGAAGCCGAAAGGUGACCGACCCUUCGGGGAGCUUGCACAGGUGCUGCAUGGCUGUCGUCAGCUCGUGUCGUGAGAUGUUCGGUUAAGUCCGCUAACGAGCGCAACCCUCGCUGUGUGUUAUAUGUGUCACACGGGACUGCCGGUCUUAAGCCGGAGGAAGGUGGGGAUGAUGUCAAGUCAGCAUGGCCUUUAUAUCCUGGGCUACACACACGCUACAAUGGCCAACACAAUAGGUUGCUAAGCCGCGAGGUGGCGCCAAUCCAUAAAGUUGGUCUCAGUUCAGAUUGUAGGCUGCAACCCGCCUGCAUGAAGAUGGAGUUGCUAGUAACCGCAGGUCAGCUAUACUGCGGUGAAUACGUUCCCGGGGCUU
This 444-nucleotide ribosomal RNA is filed under the name uncultured Leptolinea sp. Its description in RNAcentral is "bacterial SSU rRNA". It matches the Rfam family "Bacterial small subunit ribosomal RNA", at positions 924 to 1382 of the family's 1533-position model. Lineage: Bacteria; Bacillati; Chloroflexota; Anaerolineae; Anaerolineales; Anaerolineaceae. The record is from RNAcentral.